RNAcentral lists this ribosomal RNA (490 nucleotides) under uncultured bacterium. RNAcentral's name for it is "partial 16S ribosomal RNA". It matches the Rfam family "Bacterial small subunit ribosomal RNA", at positions 30 to 507 of the family's 1533-position model. The record is from RNAcentral.
AUUGAACGCUGGCGGCAGGCCUAACACAUGCAAGUCGAACGGUAACAGGAAACAGCUUGCUGUUUCGCUGACGAGUGGCGGACGGGUGAGUAAUGUCUGGGAAACUGCCUGAUGGAGGGGGAUAACUACUGGAAACGGUAGCUAAUACCGCAUAACGUCGCAAGACCAAAGAGGGGGAGCUUCGGGCCUCUUGCCAUCGGAUGUGCCCAGUUGGGAUUAGCUAGUAGGUGGGGUAACGGCUCACCUAGGCGACGAUCCCUAGCUGGUCUGAGAGGAUGACCAGCCACACUGGAACUGAGACACGGUCCAGACUCCUACGGGAGGCAGCAGUGGGGAAUAUUGGACAAUGGGCGCAAGCCUGAUGCAGCCAUGCCGCGUGUAUGAAGAAGGCCUUCGGGUUGUAAAGUACUUUCAGCGGGGAGGAAGGGAGUAAAGUUAAUACCUUUACUCAUUGACGUUACCCGCAGAAGAAGCACCGGCUAACUCCGUG